CCUCUCAAACUUUUGUCUUUCUCUCACUUUCUCCUCUCUAAACUGACUGAUGGACAUGACUCAAUGAGCCGUGCUUGUAUUCAGCUGCUGCCUCCUUCUACAUCGCACCGGAAAAUGCAAAUCUGGAAUCCAGGUUGACAUUGAUCGCCUACGAUCCGAGUUGUGCUUACCGAAUGCAUCUUUGCUACCCUAAAAAUCGAGCUGGUGAGCUCUUACACACCACUAAACCCAUUCUAACUCACCCUUCUCUCUCCUUCGUCCACAAUCUUUGCUUAGAAAAACACAAAACCACUAACCCCUCUCAACUCUAAUUUGCUUGCUAUUGUAGUCAGGAGUGCCAGCGACACGCCCAAGUAGCUUUUGUGGAAUGCCCACCAAGUGUUUGAUGUUUUUCUUAUGAAAGAAAUGCUUUUGAUUGGGUUCUUUCGGCGCCCGGACCAAUAGCAGCUAGUAUUGCUUCAUUACGUAGCCUCCUCGGAGCAAUUGGCUCGAAUCAUCUUGACUAAUCUCCGAUGGCGGAUAGGUUAGCUGAGAGCUGGGUUUUGUGACGAAGGAAUGGUCACUAUGAUUGGCCGGAGUUUAAGGAAUGUUAGAGUGGCGAGGUUUGGCGGUGGAGAUGGAAGAAGAAAAGCAGGUGAGAGAAAGAAGGUGAGUUGGGUCGAGUUGAGAGAAAGAGGGCGAGUUGGUUGGAGGCUGGUUUGGCAUUUGGAGGUGAGAGAGAGAGAACGAGAAAACUUUUAAAGGGGUAGUUUAGGCCGUGUAAAAUCAAAACUGAGUAAAUAUAAUAAAAUUAUAAAUAGG
RNAcentral lists this long non-coding RNA (801 nucleotides) under Fragaria vesca (wild strawberry). RNAcentral's name for it is "long non-coding RNA (FVES_LNC003696)". Lineage: Eukaryota; Viridiplantae; Streptophyta; Magnoliopsida; Rosales; Rosaceae. The record is from RNAcentral.